UUGUUUGGAGAGUUUGAUCCUGGCUCAGGACGAACGCUGGCGGCGUGCUUAACACAUGCAAGUCGAACGGAAAGGCCCUUCGGGGUACUCGAGUGGCGAACGGGUGAGUAACACGUGGGUGAUCU
RNAcentral lists this ribosomal RNA (125 nucleotides) under Mycolicibacterium porcinum. Its description in RNAcentral is "partial 16S ribosomal RNA". It matches the Rfam family "Bacterial small subunit ribosomal RNA", at positions 1 to 127 of the family's 1533-position model. Lineage: Bacteria; Bacillati; Actinomycetota; Actinomycetes; Mycobacteriales; Mycobacteriaceae. The record is from RNAcentral.